UACGGAGGAUGCGAGCGUUAUCCGGAUUUAUUGGGUUUAAAGGGUGCGUAGGCGGGCUGUUAAGUCAGCGGUAAAAGCCCGGGGCUCAACCCCGGCGAGCCGUUGAAACUGGCUGUCUUGAGAUGUCGAGAGGUAUGCGGAAUGCGCAGUGUAGCGGUCAAAUGCUUAGAUAUUGCGCAGAACUCCGAUUGCGAAGGCAGCAUACCGGCGGCGAUCUGACGCUGAGGCACGAAAGCGUGGGUAUCGAACAGG
Molecule: ribosomal RNA, 252 nt
Filed under: uncultured bacterium
Lineage: Bacteria
Description: partial 16S ribosomal RNA
Rfam family: Bacterial small subunit ribosomal RNA
Source: RNAcentral